CACGUAGGGCGCGAGCGUUAUCCGGAAUUAUUGGGCGUAAAGAGCUCGUAGGCGGCCUGUUGCGUCCGCUGUGAAAGCCCGGGGCUUAACCCCGGGUCUGCAGUGGAUACGGGCAGGCUAGAGGUAGGUAGGGGAGAAUGGAAUUCCCGGUGUAGCGGUGAAAUGCGCAGAUAUCGGGAGGAACACCGGUGGCGAAGGCGGUUCUCUGGGCCUUACCUGACGCUGAGGAGCGAAAGCGUGGGGAGCGAACAGG
RNAcentral lists this ribosomal RNA (253 nucleotides) under uncultured bacterium. Its description in RNAcentral is "partial 16S ribosomal RNA". It matches the Rfam family "Bacterial small subunit ribosomal RNA", at positions 524 to 776 of the family's 1533-position model. The record is from RNAcentral.